RNAcentral lists this ribosomal RNA (468 nucleotides) under uncultured bacterium. RNAcentral describes it as "partial 16S ribosomal RNA". It matches the Rfam family "Bacterial small subunit ribosomal RNA", at positions 28 to 507 of the family's 1533-position model. The record is from RNAcentral.
GACGAACGCUGGCGGCGUGCUUAACACAUGCAAGUCGAACGGAAAGUCCCUGCUUUUGUGGGGUGCUCUAGUUGCGAACGGGUGAGUAACCCGUGAGUAACCUGCCCUUGACUUUGGGAUAACUUCAGGAAACUUGGGCUAAUACCGGAUAGGAGCUCCUGCUGCAUGGUGGGGGUUGGAAAGUUUCGGCGGUUGGGGAUGGACUCGCGGCUCAUUAGCUUGUUGGUGGGGUAGUGGCUUACCAAGGCUUUGACGGGUAGCCGGGCUGAGAGGGGGACCGGCCACAUUGGGACUGAGAUGCGACCCGGACUACUACGGGAGGCAGCAGAGGAGAAUAUUGCACAAUGGGCGGAGGCAUGAUGCAGCAACGCCGCGUGCGGGAUGACGGCCAUCGGGUUGUAAAGCGCUUUCGCCUGUGACGAAGCGUGAGUGACGGUAAUGGGUAAAGAAGCACCGGCUAACUACGUG